ACUCCUACGGGAGGCAGCAGUGGGGAAUAUUGGACAAUGGGCGAAAGCCUGAUCCAGCAAUGCCGCGUGUGUGAAGAAGGCCUGCGGGUUGUAAAGCACUUUUGUCGGGAAAGAAAUCACAGGGUUAAUACCCCUGUGCCUUGACGGUACCCCGAAGAAUAAGCACCGGCUAACUCCGUGCCAGCAGCCGCGGUAAUACGGAGGGUGCAAGCGUUAAUCGGAAUUACUGGGCGUAAAGCGAGUGUAGGUGGCUAUGUAAGUCGGAUGUGAAAUCCCCGGGCUCAACCUGGGAACUGCAUUCGAUACUGCAUGGCUAGAGUCUGAUAGAGGGAAGUGGAAUUCCAGGUGUAGCGGUGAAAUGCGUAGAUAUCUGGAAGAACACCAGUGGCGAAGGCGGCUUCCUGGAUCAAGGACUGACACUGAGGCUCGAAAGCGUGGGGAG
Molecule: ribosomal RNA, 442 nt
Filed under: uncultured bacterium
Lineage: Bacteria
Description: bacterial SSU rRNA
Rfam family: Bacterial small subunit ribosomal RNA
Source: RNAcentral